This 1320-nucleotide ribosomal RNA is filed under the name Puri aleca. RNAcentral describes it as "16S ribosomal RNA". Lineage: Eukaryota; Metazoa; Arthropoda; Insecta; Megaloptera; Corydalidae. The record is from RNAcentral.
AGAUUUGAUAAUUAUUUAUUUUUUUUUGAAUAAAUUAAAAAUUUAUUAAAAAUAAUUUUAUUAAUUAGCGUUUAAGUAUAUUUUAUAGAAUAAAUAAUUUUAAUAAUAGUAAAUUAGUAUUGUGAAAGAAAUUUGAAAUAUAUUGAAAAUAUAAUUUUUAAAAAGAAAUAUUUAGUUUGUGUACCUUUUGUAUCAGGGUUUAUUAAAUAAUUUUUAUUUAUAAUAAAUUUCUCGAAUUUAAAAGAGUUAAUAAAUUAUAAGAGUUAAUGUAGAAAAAUUAUUUUUAAUAAUUUAUUAGUAAUGAAAUGUUAUUCGUUUUUAAAAAUAUCUAGUUUUUUAAGAAAUAAAUUUAAUUUAUUUAUUUUUAAUAUAAUAUUUUAUAUAUAUAAAAAUAUUAUUUAUUAAUAAAAAUAUAUUAAGGGAUAAGCUUUAAUUUAUUUUCUAUAAUAUUGUAAAUGGAGUAUUUAAUUGUAAGUUUAGAAAUAGCUAUCAGUAAUAAGUUUGUUUUAAUUUAUAAAUAUAAUUUUAUAAUUUUAAAAAUAUUUAGAUUUUUUAUUAAAAUGAUUUUUUUAAUUAAAAAAAUAAUGAAAUAAUGAUAAAAUUAGUAUAAAUUUAUGUUUUUAUAUAAAAAUUAUAAAGAUUAAGUUAAGGAAUUCAGCAAAAUAAUACUCACCUGUUUAACAAAAACAUGUCUUUUUGAAAAUAAUUUAAAGUCUAACCUGCCCACUGAAAUUUUGAAGGGCCGCGGUAUUUUGACUGUGCAAAGGUAGCAUAAUCAUUAGUUUUUUAAUUGAGAACUUGUAUGAAUGGUUGGAUGAGGUAUUAACUGUCUCAAUUUAAUAAAUAAUAGAAUUUUAUUUUUAAGUUAAAAAGCUUAAAUAUAAUUAAAGGACGAGAAGACCCUAUAGAUCUUUAUAUUUUUUUUAAUAAUAAUUUUUUAGUAUAUAUUUAUUUUUAUUAAAUAAAUUAUUUUAUUGGGGUGAUAAAAAAAUUUAUUAAACUUUUUUUGUAAUUAAACAAUAAUGUUUGAAUAUUUGAUCCAUUAUUAAUGAUUAAAAGAUUAAGUUACCUUAGGGAUAACAGCGUAAUUUUUUUGGAAAGUUCUUAUUAAUAAAAAAGAUUGCGACCUCGAUGUUGAAUUAAAGGUAAAUUUUAGGUGUAGAAGUUUAAAAUUUAGGUCUGUUCGACCUUUAGAUCUUUACAUGAUUUGAGUUCAAACCGGUGUAAGCCAGGUUGGUUUCUAUCCUUAAUAAAGAAAAAUAUUUUAGUACGAAAGGACCAAAUAUUUAAAUUAUUUUUUAAAAUUUGAAUAAAAUUAUU